This 537-nucleotide ribosomal RNA is filed under the name Lestes pinheyi. RNAcentral's name for it is "partial 16S ribosomal RNA". It matches the Rfam family "Bacterial large subunit ribosomal RNA", at positions 1819 to 2619 of the family's 2925-position model. The record is from RNAcentral. Lineage: Eukaryota; Metazoa; Arthropoda; Insecta; Odonata; Lestidae.
GUCUUCUUGAUUUUUAUAAGAAGUCUGACCUGCCCAGUGAAUAAAUUUUUUAACGGCCGCGGUAUUUUGACCGUGCAAAGGUAGCAUAAUCAUUAGUCUUUUAAUAGAAGGCUGGCAUGAAUGGUUUGACGAGGUGCUGACUGUCUCAUUUAAUUUUUUGUUAGAAUUUAAUUUUUUAGUUAGAAAGCUAAAAUAAAUUUGGAAGACGAGAAGACCCUAUAGAGCUUUAUAAUAUGAUGGUUACUUAUAUUUGGUUUGAUUUAUUUUUGGUAUCCGGGGUAUUAUUUUGUUGGGGUGACAAAAAUAUAUAUUCAACUUUUUUAUCUAUAAUACAUUGAUAUAUGAUUUAUAUGAUCCGUUUUUAGCGAUUGUUAGUCUAAGUUACCUUAGGGAUAACAGCGUAAUCUUCCUUCAGAGUUCAAAUUUACAGGAAGGCUUGCGACCUCGAUGUUGGAUUAAGAUUAUAGUUAGGCGCAGCCGCUUAAUUUAUGGGUCUGUUCGACCUUUAAUUUCUUACAUGAUCUGAGUUCAAACCGG